RNAcentral lists this unclassified non-coding RNA (374 nucleotides) under Hevea brasiliensis (rubber tree). Lineage: Eukaryota; Viridiplantae; Streptophyta; Magnoliopsida; Malpighiales; Euphorbiaceae. The record is from RNAcentral.
GCAGAAAUCAGGUACUUAUAGCUCAUUCUAUAGUCAAUCAGAUCACAGAACAGAUAAGGAAAAACAAGUGUGUGUGUGUUUGUUUGUUUGCGAGAGAGAGAGAGAAAGACUGACGCUGAAGCAGAGAGUCGGUGCCGGGGCUCAACGAUACCAGGUGAGGAUCCUCUCAUGUUCUUUGGACAAUCAGUAGCGACUUGAGGAAGUAGCAGCUGAGUACUUAAUUUUUAUAGAAACUAUUUUUUUGAAAGAGAAACCGCUAUUUCAAGAAACCCAUAUAAAGAAAGAUUGCGAAAGAGACCAGAGAGUAAUCCAAGAGGCUGAUUUGGAAAUUGAUUAAUUGUAUUUUCAAGAGUUAAGAGAGAGAGGGGCUCAAC